This 114-nucleotide ribosomal RNA is filed under the name Crocodylus porosus (Australian saltwater crocodile). The record is from RNAcentral. Lineage: Eukaryota; Metazoa; Chordata; Crocodylia; Crocodylidae.
GCCUACAGUUAUACCAUAUUGAAUCGAGUUUCAUCUGAUCUCAGUUUUAAGUGGUUUGGGACUGGGCUAGUAUUCUGAUGGGAGACUAUUUGGGAAUCCUAGAUAUCAUAAUCA